Molecule: ribosomal RNA, 335 nt
Filed under: uncultured bacterium
Lineage: Bacteria
Description: bacterial SSU rRNA
Rfam family: Bacterial small subunit ribosomal RNA
Source: RNAcentral
UAUGCAAUCUACCCAUAACUGAGGAAUAGCCCAGAGAAAUUUGGAUUAAAACCUCAUAAUAUUAUUAUUUGGCAUCAUUUAAUAAUUAAAACUCCGGUGGUUAUAGAUGAGCAUGCGUUCUAUUAGCUUGUUGGUGAGGUAAAAGCUCACCAAGGCAACGAUAGAUAGGGGGCCUGAAAGGGUGAUCCCCCACACUGGUACUGAGACACGGACCAGACUCCUACGGGAGGCAGCAGUGAGGAAUAUUGCACAAUGGAGGAAACUCUGAUGCAGCCAUGCCGCGUGCAGGAUGACGGCCCUACGGGUUGUAAACUGCUUUUUUACAAGAAGAAACC